RNAcentral lists this ribosomal RNA (427 nucleotides) under uncultured bacterium. RNAcentral describes it as "bacterial SSU rRNA". It matches the Rfam family "Bacterial small subunit ribosomal RNA", at positions 355 to 774 of the family's 1533-position model. The record is from RNAcentral.
UGGGGAAUUUUGGACAAUGGGCGCAAGCCUGAUCCAGCAAUGCCGCGUGCAGGAUGAAGGUCUUCGGGUUGUAAACUGCUUUUGUACGGAGCGAAAAGGUCUGCCCUAAUACGGUGGGCUCAUGACGGUACCGUAAGAAUAAGCACCGGCUAACUACGUGCCAGCAGCCGCGGUAAUACGUAGGGUGCGAACGUCAAUCGGAAUUACUGGGCGUAAAGCGUGCGCAGGCGGUUAUAUAAGACAGUUGUGAAAUCCCCGGGCUCAACCUGGGAACUGCAUCUGUGACUGUAUAGCUAGAGUACGGUAGAGGGGGAUGGAAUUCCGCGUGUAGCAGUGAAAUGCGUAGAUAUGCGGAGGAACACCGAUGGCGAAGGCAAUCCCCUGGACCUGUACUGACGCUCAUGCAAGAAAGCGUGGGGAGCAAACA